UUGGAGGGCAAGUCUGGUGCCAGCAGCCGCGGUAAUUCCAGCUCCAAUAGCGUAUAUUAAAGUUGUUGCAGUUAAAAAGCUCGUAGUUGAAUUUCGGGGUUAGUAGGCUGGUCGUGCCACAGGUAUGCACUGGUCUUACUGAUUCCUCCUUCCUGAUGAACCGUAAUGCCAUUAAUUUGGUGUUGCGGGGAGUCUGGACUGUUACUUUGAAAAAAUUAGAGUGUUUAAAGCAGGCUAACGCUUGAAUACAUUAGCAUGGAAUAACGAAAUAGGACGUUCGAUCCUAUUUUGUUGGUUUCUAGGAUUGACGUAAUGAUUAAUAGGGAUAGUUGGGGGCAUUAGUAUUCAAUUGUCAGAGGUGAAAUUCUUGGAUUUAUUGAAGACUAACUACUGCGAAAGCAUUUGCCAAGGAUGUUUUCAUUAAUCAAGAACGAAAGUUAGGGGAUCGAAGACGAUCAGAUACCGUCGUAGUCUUAACCAUAAACUAUGCCGACUAGGGAUCGGAUGAUGUUAAUUUUUUAAUGACUCAUUCGGCGCCUUACGGGAAAC
Molecule: ribosomal RNA, 549 nt
Filed under: uncultured Glomus
Lineage: Eukaryota; Fungi; Glomeromycota; Glomeromycetes; Glomerales; Glomeraceae
Description: SSU rRNA
Rfam family: Eukaryotic small subunit ribosomal RNA
Source: RNAcentral